Molecule: transfer RNA, 75 nt
Filed under: Rhamnusium bicolor
Lineage: Eukaryota; Metazoa; Arthropoda; Insecta; Coleoptera; Cerambycidae
Description: tRNA-OTHER
Source: RNAcentral
GGCAUGGUAGCCGAGUGGGUAAAGCGCUUAUAGCUAUUCACCAAAUAUCGAUGGUUCGAAUCCAUCCUGGAGCCA